Long non-coding RNA from Anguilla anguilla (European eel), 1838 nucleotides. RefSeq lists it as uncharacterized. The record is from RefSeq and is a predicted model, not a curated record. The transcript is spliced from 2 exons. NCBI's taxonomy places the organism in Eukaryota, Metazoa, Chordata, Actinopteri, Anguilliformes, Anguillidae.
GGGGGUCGGGGGGGGGGGUCUCCUGUCUCCCCCAGUGCCCAGCCGUUCCGUCUAGCAUGUUCACAAACCGAGCACGUGCUUGGUGUCUGUCAAAACACGGCACUGCCUUUUCCCUGUUAGUGCUGUCACUCAAGCCUGAGCAGGUUAGCGAGACUCAGGUGAGACUGUACCUGUGUGAGACUGUACCUGUGUGAGAUUCAGGUGAGACUGUAUCAGUGUGAGAUUCAGGUUUGACUGGACCAGUGUGAGAUUCAGGUGAGACUGUAUCAGUGUGAGAUUCAGGUGAGACUGUACCUGUGUGAGAUUCAGGUGAGACUGUAUCAGUGUGAGAUUCAGGUGAGACUGUAUCAGUGUGAGAUUCAGGUGAGACUGUAUCAGUGUGAGAUUCAGGGGAGACUGUAUCAGUGUGGGAUUCAGGUUUGACUGGACCAGUGUGAGAUUCAGGUGAGACUGUAUCAGUAUGAGAUUCAGGUGAGACAGUAUCAGUGUGAGAAUGAGAUGAGACUCUAUCAGUGUGAGAUUCAGGUGAGACUGUAUCAGUGUGAGAUUCAGGUGAGACUGUAUCAGUGUGAGAUUCAGGUGAGACUGUACCAGCGUGAGAUUCAGGUGAGACUGUACCUGUGAAUCUUAGGUGAGACUAUACCAGCGUGAGGCACACACUGUUCCAUACCACUUUGAAGCUUUGAUCACCUUGCUCUUUAGGAAAUUUCCCAGCAGUGGGCUCUGAUUGGUUGUUCCCUGAUCGAUGUUACCAGAACAUGUAGCCUUCUUUUGUAGAGAGAGAGAGAGAGAGCGAGCGAUCACAAAGCCAUACAUGGAGGAAAUGGCAAUUUAGUCCCCACUAUUUCAGUUUAGAAAUAUGUUUUAACGAAUUGAAAGGAAACAAAAAAAAUAAAAUAAAACCUAAAACGUCCCUAAAAAGCCCCUUACCCAAUUCUUUUUGUUCUCUUUGGCGAAAGCUCUUGAAUGUACCGGUCGGAGACGUAGAGGGAGUCUCACGGUGGACCUCGGUAGUCCGGCUUCUUUGGCGAGUGAGGCCACGGCGUCAGCGCACCGGAAGCCAUAAAUCUGCACUUAAGCGGCACUUAAGUCCCCUGUAAACUAAGCCCGUUAGCCCCUUAGCCCGUUAGCUUGUUAGCCCGUUAGCCCCUUAGCCCGUUAGCUCGUUAGCCCUGUUGGGUUUUUCAAGCACCCUCUCUCACCCAAGCAGUGUUGGUCCUUGAGUAUUUUUUCUUUAAAAAAAAAAAAAAAUCCUUUAUUGAAUGUAUGGCCGUCAAAUUUUUAUUUUUUUUUUGUAAUUGCACUGGCCGAGCUGAAAUUAAGAAAGCGUGCUGAGCUUUUUGCUCGUCUGCCCGUCAAGAGUUAAACGCGUCCCGUUUUUGUUUUAUAAAUGUUUAAAACAAAAAAGAAAGAAAAAAAACGUUUUUUUUUAUUUUAUUUUAUUUUUUUUUAACUGCUCCUCAGGGCACUGCCUUCUCGACCUUGUGCCAAAAUCAUUCCGUGGGAUUUCGCCGUUUACUGCUCUAGGUUUACAGAGACAAACACCCCGUCCUGCAAGGCCACCGUACUUAAGUAAGGGGGUAAUAUUCUAUUUUGGGGGAAGUCUUUGUUCAUUUUAAAUGUUUUUUUUUCUCUUUUCUUUUUUUAAAUUUUUUUUUUAAAGAAUGACUUGUUUUGGAAGCUGUAUUGGAUACAUUUUUUAUUUAAAACCUUGUAAUUUUGUAAAGUGGGCCUUGUUUAAAUAUAUUGUUAUUUUUCUUUUGUUUUGAAUCUCUUUUAAUGCACUCCUGGGGAGUCUUUUUGCUUGUUCUUCUGUUAUUUCUAAAGUUUAAAAAAAA